This 319-nucleotide ribosomal RNA is filed under the name uncultured eukaryote. RNAcentral's name for it is "partial 18S ribosomal RNA". It matches the Rfam family "Eukaryotic small subunit ribosomal RNA", at positions 1470 to 1796 of the family's 1831-position model. The record is from RNAcentral.
CCCUUAGAUGUUCUGGGCCGCACGCGUGCUACACUGAGUAAAUCAAUGGGUAAGGGAACACGAAAGUGCAACCUAAUCUUCAAAUUUGCUCGUGAUGGGGAUCGACGGUUGCAAUUUUCCGUCGUGAACGAGGAAUACCUUGUAGGCGCGUGUCAUCAUCACGCGCCGAAUACGUCCCUGCCCUUUGUACACACCGCCCGUCGCUCCUACCGAUUGAAUGCUCAGGUGAGCCAUUCGGACUUUCAUCAUGCUGGUUUCCAGUUUUGAUGAAGGAAAGUCUUGCGAACCUUAUCAUUUAGAGGAAGGAGAAGUCGUAACA